Molecule: non-coding RNA, 26 nt
Filed under: Rattus norvegicus (Norway rat)
Lineage: Eukaryota; Metazoa; Chordata; Mammalia; Rodentia; Muridae
Source: RNAcentral
UUGUCUAGAGGUAGAGAACCAGGGAA